GACGAGGGAUCCUAGCGUUGUUCGGAAUCAUUGGGCGUAAAGCGGAUGUAGGUGGCUACAUAAGUCAGAUGUGAAAGCCUUGGGCUUAACCCAAGAAGUGCAUUUGAUACUGUGUAGCUUGAGUGUGGUAGAGGCUACUAGAAUUCCUGGUGUAGUGGUGAAAUACGUAGAUAUCAGGAGGAAUACCGGAGGCGAAGGCGGGUAGCUGGGCCAACACUGACACUGAGAUCCGAAAGCGUGGGGAUCAAACAGG
RNAcentral lists this ribosomal RNA (253 nucleotides) under uncultured bacterium. RNAcentral's name for it is "partial 16S ribosomal RNA". It matches the Rfam family "Bacterial small subunit ribosomal RNA", at positions 524 to 776 of the family's 1533-position model. The record is from RNAcentral.